Molecule: ribosomal RNA, 424 nt
Filed under: uncultured bacterium
Lineage: Bacteria
Description: partial 16S ribosomal RNA
Rfam family: Bacterial small subunit ribosomal RNA
Source: RNAcentral
GUGGGGAAUAUUGGGCAAUGGGCGAAAGCCUGACCCAGCAACGCCGCGUGAAGGAAGAAGGUCUCCGGAUCGUAAACUUCUAUCCUUGGUGAAGAUAAUGACGGUAGCCGAGAAGGAAGCCCCGGCUAACUACGUGCCAGCAGCCGCGGUAAUACGUAGGGGGCAAGCGUUGUCCGGAAUGAUUGGGCGUAAAGGGCGCGUAGGCGGCCUGGUAAGUCUGGAGUGAAAGUCCUGCUGUUAAGGUGGGAAUUGUUUGGAUACUGUCGGGCUUGAGUGCAGGAGAGGUAAGUGGAAUUCCCGGUGUAGCGGUGAAAUGCGUAGAGAUCGGGAGGAACACCAGUGGCGAAGGCGACUUACUGGACUGUAACUGACGCUGAGGCGCGAAAGUGUGGGGAGCAAACAGGAUUAGAAACCCCAGUAGUCC